CUUCAUUCGUCCUUGUGGCCACGGUGGUGUACACAUACACGAGUGGAUACUAGAUAGUGCCUAGCGAAAAAAAGGAAACACUUGCGAGUCUACGCAAGAAGAUUCAGGGGAUAUUUGUCCAUGAGCGGCUGUGCUUGCAUUAUACAGAACUUAUUUUUACCUAGUGCAAGUGUUUGUGAUUUCAAGCCAUCGCCAAUUAUUUGAUUUCAAGCUAUUGCCAAUUAUUUUGAUUUAGUGCUCACCCCAAGCUCUGAAGAACAACGCACUUAAUAAGCUUCAUGGAUGAAGGAGAUAAGAUCGUGUCUCCAAAAGGCAAGUCAUUUUGUACCACAAUGCUAUUGGAGCUGUGAUGUCAGUCAUUGUUUACUUAAGAUUAAAAGUUUCAUCUGAGAAAUAAGCAAAUUUUUGCAGUUAAGUUUCAAGUACAAAUUUAGGAGUAAUCAUCUGAGUCACACGUAAAGCUAGUCGUCUUAGAAUUAGAUAGUAGGAUUAGUUGCAGUGUUUGAACAGUGAGAUAAAAUUAGUAUAAAAUUGGUUAUGAUAGAAGAACAUGGCCUUCCAGUCUUGUAUCAAGGUGUUGUAACAUGGUACUAAAGUACCAUUGCUCUGACAUUGGUAAUGGUGUCUAGGUUGAUGAAGUAACAUGGUACUAAAGUAUCAUUGGUAUGACAUUGUUGGUGUUGUUGAUGAAGCAACAUGGUACUAAAGUACCAUUGGUCUGAGUUUAGGUGAUGAAGUAACAUGGUACUAAAGUACCAUUGGUCUGACAUUGGUGGGGUUUUCUAGGCUGACGAAGUAACAUGGUACUAAAGUACCAUUGGUCUGACACGUGGUGGUGUUUUCUAGGUUGAUGAAGUAACAUGGUAUUAAAGUACCAUCAGUUUGGUGUUUGGGUUGAUACCACAGUGAGUGUCUCACUGGGUACGAAGCCUCACCAAAGGAGAAGAUAAUGGUGUUGCCAAGUAUUUGGUAUUAGUGUUUUAUUGCUACAUUGUUUAUGCAAAAUGCAUAACGACAUUUAUUAUGUGAAUUAUGUUUGGAAUGUAUUGUAGAAUUCAAGUAUAUGUAUAUUAGCAUUUUUGUGACUCAGAAAAUCUAAAUCUUUUGACUCCUUAAUAGCAAGUGGUAUAAAAUGAAGGUUAUCCAGACUGAUCAAAACUGAUGCUCCUUAAAAAUUCAAGACAUUCGUUUUUCAAAACCUUUAACUGACAAAAUCAAGUACUUUUGCAAGUAAGUUGAUGCAUUGUAUAAGGAUUUCUCAUCCAUGACGUUCAUGUGUAAAGAUACUGCUAAAGUAUUAAAAGUCGUUUUGCCUCAUCAAUUUCUAUAAAACUAGUCAUAAGGUACUACCUGCACUUGUAUUUACCUUGAAUUAAGUUUUUGUCUUUUAAAAUUAAAAUAACUUUAAGCAGAGUACCCUUCUCACUACAUUGCAGAUAGUUUGAUGUGAAGUAAUAUAUUGAUUGAUUUAUUUAAAGUAGUCAAGCCAAGUUUCAUACACUCCUAAAUCUACUAAAAAUCAGUCUGAUAAUUCUGGACAGCCUUAGAUUCUUCGGCAUCGAAAAGGGCACACAAGGUAUGUGAUUUUGUUUCCAGAUAUUCUAAUCUUCCUUUAUUUCAGCAUUAACAUCCAGGUUGGUCACUCGACCUACCAUAAAGACAUCAAACCAUCAGACAUACCAAGAGACUAAAAGCCACCUGGUCUACCAAGAGACCUCAAGCCACCUGACCUACCAAGAGACUUAAGCCAUCUGACCUACCAAGAAGCAUGAAACCUGACUGCCCAAUAAGAUCCAGAAUUGUUGAUUUGAAGAUUUAUAUAUUUUUUUCUUCAAUCUCCGAAGACGGUUUUCUGGUACGUGUUUCUAGAUCGAAUUGAAGAAUUGCUUGUAAAUAUUUUCGGGAGGUAUACAUUGGUUUUGGUAAAUUAUUUGUCAGUCUUCUAGGAGAUUAUUUUGAAUCAAGUACUCUUCCUUGAAACCAUAUUCUACAGCCUAAACAUACUAUAGGUUUUAAAUCAUAAUUCGAGUUGUAAGUCUGGUGGGUACCACUUGGAAGUCUAUUUAAUCAUAUUGUAUAUGAACACAGAAAUUCCUUGCAAGCUGCCUACAAGGAUGCUGAGACCAGGAGUUCUUGGUGUUUACCUGAUGAGGGUGUGUAAGUAUUGGUCAAUUCAUCUUUGAUAUGCCUCAUUGGGUUCCCUAGUUGGGCCAUCACAAACACAACUCUAAUUAAAUAGUUUAGGAUCUGUGGCAUGUUUAUGUUGGAGAAUUAAGUCUCCAGUACAACUGCCUGACCCAAAUGAUUUCCCUUAUGAGGCUGACUGACUGUCCCAAAGCAUUCAGGGUGGUUAGUGAAUUUUAUAAUUUCAAUGUGGAAAAUACUCAAGUUGAGUGUCGUGGUUUUUUGUGGAAGUGAAAAGUGUUUUUUAGUGGCGUUCCUUCAACUGGAGGGUGAAGUUUUGUGUUGUGGUGGUUCUUGGUGAAAAAUCAGUGUUGAGUGACUUUCAUUCCGGUGUUGUGUGAAUUACUUUCAUCCUAACAGUAAACAAGAAGUUACUUUCUCCUCAGAGAAAUGUAACAGUAAUACAAGGAAGGCAACUACUCAAGUGUCAAGAAGUGGUUCUGUCAAGACUUGGGCACUUUGAGAAUGAAAUCCAGAAAUUUUUAAAACAGGUAAGCAUAGACUUUUAUAUGUUUAUAUUUUGUCUGCAAAGUUGAAAUCUGUAUUAACAAAGAUUCAUUUUAAUAUUCAAAAGUCUGAUAGUAUACCCGUAAAUGUCCUUAUCAAUGUAAUUUAACUUAAUACACAAGAUUUGAAUAAUCAUAAAUAAUCUUAAACCCUAAUUGAGAGUUACUUUGCUCUACUAGAGAUAUUGCCUGGAUUAAUGAUUUAUGGAAACUUGCUCACAUAAAGACAAACGGCUGUUUACUCAUAUUAACAGUUUUCAUUGUUUGUUCUUGCAGAUGUUGAGUUCUUCCGUAUCGAGCAGUUGGCUUCACUUCAAGGUAAAUGCUAACAAAGACCUUUUCAAUAUUUGCAUACUAAUUGUUUUUUCUAGUGUGUUUUUCAGGUAAUGAUUUGUUCAAGUGACGAGUAUUUGAAUUCCCGUGACAAGUAGUAGAAAGGAUUCACCGUGAAUAUUGUGACAUGGCGUAUUCUUUUCAUUUAUCUUUCAAAUCAACACAUGGAGUUUUGUGUGCAUUUUGAACAGAAUUAGCAAUUCCACAAUAAGGAAAAAGACUGAGUAGUGGAGUUAGAUAUAGCCAUGACUAACGACUUGGAGGAAACCAGAAGGAUUGACCGAAUCCAGGCUAUAACCUUCAGAGUGACACAAGAGCUGCUUCCAAACAGUGGUAUCGAUUUCUUCUCAUCAAGUGAAUUUCCAGGUAACUCCCCUGACCUUAAUGUCUGAAAACAUUGGUAGUAUCUUAAAGGAUUGUGUUGAAGUGCUCACAGUGAACUAUGAUGGUAUACCAAGCCUCGACGACCUGCGGAGAGAGGUGACCGAAGUGCUCAGGGAAAUGGAGUUUGAGUCUCAGCUUUUUUGCAAUUUGCUGAAAUCGUACCCCUCAAGAAAGCAGGCUGUGGUACAGGCAGAUGGAGGCCACACAAACUAUUAAACACUCAGAGAGAAACUUAAAUAUAUACCUGGUCUGAAUUACUUUUGUUUUUGUCCAUAUCAAUUUUAGUUUAUGCUGUAGAGGCGGGAGUCUAAUUUCGA
Long non-coding RNA from Macrobrachium nipponense, 3724 nucleotides. RefSeq lists it as uncharacterized. The transcript has 5 exons. NCBI's taxonomy places the organism in Eukaryota, Metazoa, Arthropoda, Malacostraca, Decapoda, Palaemonidae. The record is from RefSeq and is a predicted model, not a curated record.